Molecule: ribosomal RNA, 492 nt
Filed under: uncultured bacterium
Lineage: Bacteria
Description: partial 16S ribosomal RNA
Rfam family: Bacterial small subunit ribosomal RNA
Source: RNAcentral
AGUGAACGCUGGCGGUAGGCCUAACACAUGCAAGUCGAACGGCAGCACAGUAAGAGCUUGCUCUUACGGGUGGCGAGUGGCGGACGGGUGAGGACUACAUCGGAAUCUACUUUUUCGUGGGGGAUAACGUAGGGAAACUUACGCUAAUACCGCAUACGACCUACGGGUGAAAGCAGGGGAUCUUCGGACCUUGCGCGAUUGAAUGAGCCGAUGUCGGAUUAGCUAGUUGGCGGGGUAAAGGCCCACCAAGGCGACGAUCCGUAGCUGGUCUGAGAGGAUGAUCAGCCACACUGGAACUGAGACACGGUCCAGACUCCUACGGGAGGCAGCAGUGGGGAAUAUUGGACAAUGGGCGCAAGCCUGAUCCAGCCAUACCGCGUGGGUGAAGAAGGCCUUCGGGUUGUAAAGCCCUUUUGUUGGGAAAGAAAAGCAGCAGGUUAAGACCCCGCUGUUCUGACGGUACCCAAAGAAUAAGCACCGGCUAACUUCGUG